CAUGAGGUCCAGUUCUCGGGCAGUGCUCUCGUCGUCCCUGUACAUUGCCAAUGGUGCAAGGUGCUUCGUGGUGAGUGAGGACAGCCCUCUGCGACAGGCAACGAGGGGAGAAAGUGAGGGAAAGAGCUGAGCUCCAGAGUGCUUCAAUCUGGCAUCUGUUUCAAUGGAAGAAAAAGAAAACCAUUGUGGUUAACCGUGAAUGAAGUAUAACAGGAAAGAUACAAGAUACUGGAAAUCUGAAACAAAAACAGAAAAUGCUGGUAAUCUCACAGAACUAGAAGCCUUUUGCAA
This is a long non-coding RNA of Pristis pectinata (smalltooth sawfish), 291 nucleotides long. RefSeq lists it as uncharacterized. Lineage: Eukaryota; Metazoa; Chordata; Chondrichthyes; Rhinopristiformes; Pristidae. The record is from RefSeq and is a predicted model, not a curated record. The transcript is spliced from 3 exons.